Molecule: ribosomal RNA, 2902 nt
Filed under: Klebsiella pneumoniae
Lineage: Bacteria; Pseudomonadati; Pseudomonadota; Gammaproteobacteria; Enterobacterales; Enterobacteriaceae
Also listed under: 3 other names
Description: 23S ribosomal RNA
Rfam family: Bacterial large subunit ribosomal RNA
Source: RNAcentral
GGUUAAGCGACUAAGCGUACACGGUGGAUGCCCUGGCAGUCAGAGGCGAUGAAGGACGUGCUAAUCUGCGAAAAGCGUCGGUAAGGUGAUAUGAACCGUUAUAACCGGCGAUGUCCGAAUGGGGAAACCCAGUGCAAUUCGUUGCACUAUCGUUAACUGAAUACAUAGGUUAACGAGGCGAACCGGGGGAACUGAAACAUCUAAGUACCCCGAGGAAAAGAAAUCAACCGAGAUUCCCCCAGUAGCGGCGAGCGAACGGGGAGCAGCCCAGAGUCUGAAUCAGCUUGUGUGUUAGUGGAACGGUCUGGAAAGUCCGACGGUACAGGGUGAUAGUCCCGUACACCAAAAUGCACAGGCUGUGAACUCGAAGAGUAGGGCGGGACACGUGGUAUCCUGUCUGAAUAUGGGGGGACCAUCCUCCAAGGCUAAAUACUCCUGACUGACCGAUAGUGAACCAGUACCGUGAGGGAAAGGCGAAAAGAACCCCGGCGAGGGGAGUGAAAAAGAACCUGAAACCGUGUACGUACAAGCAGUGGGAGCACCUUCGGGUGUGACUGCGUACCUUUUGUAUAAUGGGUCAGCGACUUAUAUUCUGUAGCAAGGUUAACCGUAUAGGGGAGCCGCAGGGAAACCGAGUCUUAACUGGGCGUUAAGUUGCAGGGUAUAGACCCGAAACCCGGUGAUCUAGCCAUGGGCAGGUUGAAGGUUGGGUAACACUAACUGGAGGACCGAACCGACUAAUGUUGAAAAAUUAGCGGAUGACUUGUGGCUGGGGGUGAAAGGCCAAUCAAACCGGGAGAUAGCUGGUUCUCCCCGAAAGCUAUUUAGGUAGCGCCUCGUGAAUUCAUCUUCGGGGGUAGAGCACUGUUUCGGCUAGGGGGUCAUCCCGACUUACCAACCCGAUGCAAACUACGAAUACCGAAGAAUGUUAUCACGGGAGACACACGGCGGGUGCUAACGUCCGUCGUGAAGAGGGAAACAACCCAGACCGCCAGCUAAGGUCCCAAAGUCAUGGUUAAGUGGGAAACGAUGUGGGAAGGCACAGACAGCCAGGAUGUUGGCUUAGAAGCAGCCAUCAUUUAAAGAAAGCGUAAUAGCUCACUGGUCGAGUCGGCCUGCGCGGAAGAUGUAACGGGGCUAAACCAUGCACCGAAGCUGCGGCAGCGACACUAUGUGUUGUUGGGUAGGGGAGCGUUCUGUAAGCCUGCGAAGGUGACCUGUGAGGGUUGCUGGAGGUAUCAGAAGUGCGAAUGCUGACAUAAGUAACGAUAAAGCGGGUGAAAAGCCCGCUCGCCGGAAGACCAAGGGUUCCUGUCCAACGUUAAUCGGGGCAGGGUGAGUCGACCCCUAAGGCGAGGCCGAAAGGCGUAGUCGAUGGGAAACAGGUUAAUAUUCCUGUACUUGGUGUUACUGCGAAGGGGGGACGGAGAAGGCUAUGUUAGCCGGGCGACGGUUGUCCCGGUUUAAGCAUGUAGGCUGGUUAUCCAGGCAAAUCCGGAUAAUCAAGGCUGAGGUGUGAUGACGAGGCACUACGGUGCUGAAGUAACAAAUGCCCUGCUUCCAGGAAAAGCCUCUAAGCAUCAGGUAACAUCAAAUCGUACCCCAAACCGACACAGGUGGUCAGGUAGAGAAUACCAAGGCGCUUGAGAGAACUCGGGUGAAGGAACUAGGCAAAAUGGUGCCGUAACUUCGGGAGAAGGCACGCUGGUGUGUAGGUGAAGUCCCUGCGGAUGGAGCUGAGACCAGUCGAAGAUACCAGCUGGCUGCAACUGUUUAUUAAAAACACAGCACUGUGCAAACACGAAAGUGGACGUAUACGGUGUGACGCCUGCCCGGUGCCGGAAGGUUAAUUGAUGGGGUUAUCCGUAAGGAGAAGCUCUUGAUCGAAGCCCCGGUAAACGGCGGCCGUAACUAUAACGGUCCUAAGGUAGCGAAAUUCCUUGUCGGGUAAGUUCCGACCUGCACGAAUGGCGUAAUGAUGGCCAGGCUGUCUCCACCCGAGACUCAGUGAAAUUGAACUCGCUGUGAAGAUGCAGUGUACCCGCGGCAAGACGGAAAGACCCCGUGAACCUUUACUAUAGCUUGACACUGAACAUUGAGCCUUGAUGUGUAGGAUAGGUGGGAGGCUUUGAAGCGUGGACGCCAGUCUGCGUGGAGCCAACCUUGAAAUACCACCCUUUAAUGUUUGAUGUUCUAACGUUGGCCCCUGACCGGGGUUGCGGACAGUGUCUGGUGGGUAGUUUGACUGGGGCGGUCUCCUCCCAAAGCGUAACGGAGGAGCACGAAGGUUAGCUAAUCCUGGUCGGACAUCAGGAGGUUAGUGCAAUGGCAUAAGCUAGCUUGACUGCGAGCGUGACGGCGCGAGCAGGUGCGAAAGCAGGUCAUAGUGAUCCGGUGGUUCUGAAUGGAAGGGCCAUCGCUCAACGGAUAAAAGGUACUCCGGGGAUAACAGGCUGAUACCGCCCAAGAGUUCAUAUCGACGGCGGUGUUUGGCACCUCGAUGUCGGCUCAUCACAUCCUGGGGCUGAAGUAGGUCCCAAGGGUAUGGCUGUUCGCCAUUUAAAGUGGUACGCGAGCUGGGUUUAGAACGUCGUGAGACAGUUCGGUCCCUAUCUGCCGUGGGCGCUGGAGAAUUGAGGGGGGCUGCUCCUAGUACGAGAGGACCGGAGUGGACGCAUCACUGGUGUUCGGGUUGUCAUGCCAAUGGCACUGCCCGGUAGCUAAAUGCGGAAGAGAUAAGUGCUGAAAGCAUCUAAGCACGAAACUUGCCCCGAGAUGAGUUCUCCCUGAGACUUUAAGUCUCCUGAAGGAACGUUAAAGACGAUGACGUUGAUAGGCCGGGUGUGUAAGCGCAGCGAUGCGUUGAGCUAACCGGUACUAAUGAACCGUGAGGCUUAACCUU